This is a long non-coding RNA of Podarcis raffonei (Aeolian wall lizard), 717 nucleotides long. RefSeq lists it as uncharacterized. The transcript is spliced from 2 exons. The record is from RefSeq and is a predicted model, not a curated record. NCBI's taxonomy places the organism in Eukaryota, Metazoa, Chordata, Lepidosauria, Squamata, Lacertidae.
AUCUACAUGCCUCUGGACCCCCCCCCCCCAGGAUAAUUUGCAAUCAACACACACUUAUUCAUCAUACCUGCAGAAGAUGCCACACUGUUCACAUCAGACAUGAGAUGCGGGACUGAGGCUGAGAGCUAGCAAUCUACUUGAGGGCCCCUACUGAGUUUGUGGCAGAAGUAAGAUGCGAAGCAAGGACUUUCCUGAUUGCUAAGCCUCUAAAGCAUGAAUCCCAUGCACACACUUCCCUGGGGGUAAGGUCACCGUAGAGCAAUUCUGCACCAAACUUGUACAGAAGGACUGCUGCCAGCCCCUCUGCCACAUUAGUUCUCUAUGCAGGACAAAUCACUCCAACCCUUGCCUUGUGACAGCCAAACGCAAGCCGGGAGAGAGCAUUUUGCAAAGAGUUGGUUCAAACCCGACACUAACAAAUGAAUGAGCAGCAGGCUAACACUCAUGAUGCAGAACAAAAGUCAAAGGUGCAGGGUCCUUGUCCCAGACAGCAGGCACAGAGCUGCCAGGAAAUAAAUAAUUGGCAAAGCAAUUCUGUUGCGUGAGGCAGAGCUCUGGGAGAAAAUGGAUUUCUGGGGUUCUUCAAGUCCUCCAUUAACCAGCUCUAAACAACUGAAAGCUAAAAGGACUUCUAUAUACAUCCUAAAAUCCCAUUAUACGUCUCACUCUCAGGGCACUCACUGUAUGCAGCUGCACAAAAAUAAAAUGAUUAUCUUU